GACCUUGAUAACGCCAUGUUCGAUUUGAGACAUGACUGUUUGUUUGUGGCUGCCAAUGUGGUUCUAAUUCCUCAGCAUGGUACCAAACAAAAAUAAUUUCGUUUGCCUCGCAACUUUUCCAAGUUUUCGUUCUGGCAACGUGUGGCACUGAAAUCAGGCAACAAUUAAUCGAAUAAAGCUGUAAAUUGAGUCACCUUUGUCAGCAUAUGGAAUGUAAUCGCACUGUCCAUCGGAACCACGAAAUUGCCAACCAUGAAAGGGACAUUCUAAACAAUCACCCUUUACACGACCACCUUCUGCCAUAUUUGCACCCAAAUGAGGGCAAUUAAGAAAUGCAUAGACAUAUAUUUCAUUUUGAAAUGAAAACUUUGAAUUGAAACAUAUCACGUUUCCCUUUUAAGAAUGGAAAGAAUCGCUGAUACGAUGAAAAAGAAUUCUUCUAGUUUUACAACGUCACACGCAAAGAGAAAUCUGCCUCCUCAUUUGUAAACAUAAUGUCACCGUG
Molecule: long non-coding RNA, 505 nt
Organism: Frieseomelitta varia
Lineage: Eukaryota; Metazoa; Arthropoda; Insecta; Hymenoptera; Apidae
Exons: 3
Source: RefSeq, a predicted model, not a curated record